RNAcentral lists this ribosomal RNA (372 nucleotides) under uncultured bacterium. RNAcentral describes it as "bacterial SSU rRNA". It matches the Rfam family "Bacterial small subunit ribosomal RNA", at positions 527 to 896 of the family's 1533-position model. The record is from RNAcentral.
GGAGGAUCCAAGCGUUAUCCGGAUUUACUGGGCGUAAAGAGUUGCGUAGGUGGUUUGCCAAGUUUCCGUUUAAAUGCCAAGGCUCAACCUUGGAAGUGACGGAAAAACUGGCAAACUCGAGAAUGAGAGAGGUCACUGGAAUUGCUAGUGUAGGAGUGAAAUCCGUAGAUAUUAGCAGGAACACCAAUGGCGUAGGCAGGUGACUGGCUCAUUUCUGACACUGAGGCACGAAAGCGUGGGGAGCGAACGGGAUUAGAUACCCCGGUAGUCCACGCCGUAAACGAUGGAUGCUAGCUGUAAGGAGUAUCGACCCUUCUUGUAGCGAAGCUAACGCGUUAAGCAUCCCGCCUGGGGAGUACGGUCGCAAGRKUA